RNAcentral lists this ribosomal RNA (507 nucleotides) under uncultured bacterium. RNAcentral describes it as "bacterial SSU rRNA". It matches the Rfam family "Bacterial small subunit ribosomal RNA", at positions 18 to 518 of the family's 1533-position model. The record is from RNAcentral.
CCUGGCUUAGGAUGAACGCUAGCGACAGGCCUAACACAUGCAAGUCGAGGGGCAGCACAAGGAGCAAUCUGAGGUGGCGACCGGCGCACGGGUGAGUAACACGUAUGCAACCUGCCUGUAAGCGGGGAAUAACCCGUUGAAAGACGGACUAAUACCGCAUAAUACUAAAUUACUGCAUGGUAAUUUAUUUAAACAUUUAUGGCUUACAGAUGGGCAUGCGCAUGAUUAGCUAGUUGGAGAGGUAACGGCUCCCCAAGGCAACGAUCAUUAGGGGUUCUGAGAGGAAGGUCCCCCCACACUGGUACUGAGACACGGACCAGACUCCUACGGGAGGCAGCAGUGAGGAAUAUUGGUCAAUGGACGAGAGUCUGAACCAGCCAAGUCGCGUGCAGGAAGAAUUGUCCUAUGGAUUGUAAACUGCUUUUGCAGGGGAAUAAAGUGCAUCACGUGUGAUGUUUUGUAUGUACUCUGCGAAUAAGGAUCGGCUAACUCCGUGCCAGCCGCGGC